UUUGUCAAGGCGAUUGGUUAAAAAAAAAGUUCACUCGCCAUUUCUGUCGCUCGUAUUUGUCGUCUGGCUACAUCCUCAACGUUUACUCAAUCAACUGAAUGACUAGCAUUUUUAAAAUUUCCCUCCACAUCCCCCCCCCCCCCUCCAAAAAAAAGAGAACUGUAAAUGAACACACAAUGUAGUCUCCUUGCUUUAAGGGGAAGUUGUGUUUGUCCAAGAGCAACUUGAUACAGUAUUUAAGGCGGAGGAUGCGAGGCGCUAAUGGACAGUAUCGCUCGGAGCAGCGUGCUUUUGGGACGAUGGAUUUUGUGCAGCCCAGCAAAGCUAAGAGGAAGUUCCAAAUCAACUUGUUUAAAAAUCUGAUUGAAAUACACGGAGCGAUAUGGUUGAGACAGGCCUGGGUGGAAACCAGACCAGAAUCUACCGCCAUUGAAGAAUAAAAGUAGCUGACGAAAAA
This is a non-coding RNA of Chiloscyllium plagiosum (whitespotted bambooshark), 457 nucleotides long. The record is from RefSeq and is a predicted model, not a curated record. NCBI's taxonomy places the organism in Eukaryota, Metazoa, Chordata, Chondrichthyes, Orectolobiformes, Hemiscylliidae.